This 64-nucleotide transfer RNA is filed under the name Elateroidea sp. 10 KM-2017. Its description in RNAcentral is "tRNA-Leu". It matches the Rfam family "tRNA". Rfam says of the family: Transfer RNA (tRNA) molecules are approximately 80 nucleotides in length. Their secondary structure includes four short double-helical elements and three loops (D, anti-codon, and T loops). Lineage: Eukaryota; Metazoa; Arthropoda; Insecta; Coleoptera. The record is from RNAcentral.
AUUGCUUUGGCAGAUUAGUGCGGUUGAUUUAGAAUCAUUAUAUGUAAUUUUAUUACAAGUAAUA